CCUACGGGGGGCAGCAGUGAGGAAUAUUGGUCAAUGGGCGGGAGCCUGAACCAGCCAUGCCGCGUGAAGGCGAGUGCCCUACGGGCGUUAAACUUCUUUUGUGCGGGAGCAAUAAGGGCCACGUGUGGCCCGAUGAGAGUACCGCACGAAUAAGCAUCGGCUAACUCCGUGCCAGCAGCCGCGGUAAUACGGGGGAUGCGAGCGUUAUCCGGAUUUAUUGGGUUUAAAGGGUGCGCAUGCGGAAGAUCAAGUCAGCGGUAAAAUUGAGAGGCUCAACCUCUUCGAGCCGUUAAAACUGGUUUUCU
RNAcentral lists this ribosomal RNA (305 nucleotides) under uncultured bacterium. RNAcentral's name for it is "bacterial SSU rRNA". It matches the Rfam family "Bacterial small subunit ribosomal RNA", at positions 338 to 642 of the family's 1533-position model. The record is from RNAcentral.